This 429-nucleotide ribosomal RNA is filed under the name Bacillota bacterium. RNAcentral describes it as "Firmicutes bacterium partial 16S ribosomal RNA". It matches the Rfam family "Bacterial small subunit ribosomal RNA", at positions 355 to 776 of the family's 1533-position model. Lineage: Bacteria; Bacillati; Bacillota. The record is from RNAcentral.
UAGGGAAUCUUCCACAAUGGACGCAAGUCUGAUGGAGCAACGCCGCGUGAGUGAAGAAGGUUUUCGGAUCGUAAAGCUCUGUUGUUGGUGAAGAAGGAUAGAGGCAGUAACUGGUCUUUAUUUGACGGUAAUCAACCAGAAAGUCACGGCUAACUACGUGCCAGCAGCCGCGGUAAUACGUAGGUGGCAAGCGUUGUCCGGAUUUAUUGGGCGUAAAGCGAGCGCAGGCGGAAUGAUAAGUCUGAUGUGAAAGCCCACGGCUCAACCGUGGAACUGCAUCGGAAACUGUCAUUCUUGAGUGCAGAAGAGGGGAGUGGAAUUCCAUGUGUAGCGGUGGAAUGCGUAGAUAUAUGGAAGAACACCAGUGGCGAAGGCGGCUCUCUGGUCUGAAACUGACGCUGAGGCUCGAAAGCAUGGGUAGCGAACAGG